RNAcentral lists this ribosomal RNA (490 nucleotides) under uncultured bacterium. RNAcentral's name for it is "partial 16S ribosomal RNA". It matches the Rfam family "Bacterial small subunit ribosomal RNA", at positions 899 to 1397 of the family's 1533-position model. The record is from RNAcentral.
ACUCAAAUGAAUUGACGGGGACCCGCACAACUGGUGGAGCGUGUGGUUUAAUUCGAGACGAAGCGAAAAACCUUACCAGGGUUUGACAUGCUACCGUUUAUACCUAUGGAAACACUGGUAGAUCCGCAAGGAUGGUAGUACAGGUGAUGCAUGGCUGUCGUCAGCUCGUGCCGUGAGGUGUUCCCUUAAGUGGGGAAACGAGCGCAACCCGCGUCUAAUGUUACAUUUUCAUUAGAGACGGUCCCGAUUAUAUCGGGAAGGAAGGAGCGGAAGACGUCAAGUCAGCACGUCCCUUAUACCCUGGGUUACACACACCCUACAAUGGCGAAGAACAAUGGGCCGCAAGCUGGUAACAGCAAGCAAAUCUCAGAAAUUUCGCCUCAGUUCAGAUUGAGGGCUGCAACUCGCCCUCAUGAAGUCGGAAUCAGUAGUAAUCGCAGAUCAGAAGGCUGCGGUGAAUACGUUCUCGGGUCUUGUACACACCGCCCGU